AACGCAUAUUGCGCUCGAGACUCCGGUCGAGAGCAUGUCUGUCUCAGCGUCGGCUCACCCCCUCGCCCCUCUUCCCUCUUUCGGCAAGAGUCUAAAGGGCGGACGUGGCCGUCUCGGGCCUUCCUCUAGGCCCGGGUCGGCUGAAGCACAGGGCUUGCGGCCGGACCCACACACAGGGCGCCAGCAUGGUAGGUGGCUUCAUUGCUGCAUGCCGCUGUCGCCCCACCCGGUGGGCUCCCAUGCCGCGCGGCCAAGCAGGAAGCAUCGAUCGGUGGGCCCCCAGCCCCCGGUCUUUCAACCUUCGACCUGAGAUCAGACAAGACCACCCGCUGAACUUAA
Molecule: unclassified non-coding RNA, 339 nt
Filed under: uncultured fungus
Lineage: Eukaryota; Fungi
Description: partial contains 5.8S ribosomal RNA, internal transcribed spacer 2, and large subunit ribosomal RNA
Source: RNAcentral